GGAGGGGUGCCGGAGCGGUCUAACGGAACGGUCUGGAGAACCGUGCCUCAGUAAUGGGGCUCGUGGGUUCGAAUCCCACCCCCUCCGCAA
This 90-nucleotide transfer RNA is filed under the name Candidatus Wolfebacteria bacterium. Its description in RNAcentral is "tRNA-Ser". It matches the Rfam family "tRNA". Rfam says of the family: Transfer RNA (tRNA) molecules are approximately 80 nucleotides in length. The record is from RNAcentral. Lineage: Bacteria; Candidatus Wolfeibacteriota.